ACAUACGACCAUAGAUAGUUGAAAACAUGGCAUCCCGUUCGCUCUGCCCUAAUUAAGCAACUAAUCGCCGAAUCAGUACUCAGGUGGGUGACCACUGGGGAAUCCUCGGUGUUGUAUGUU
Pestalotiopsis fici W106-1 is the source of this 120-nucleotide ribosomal RNA. NCBI's taxonomy places the organism in Eukaryota, Fungi, Ascomycota, Sordariomycetes, Amphisphaeriales, Sporocadaceae. The record is from Rfam.